This 262-nucleotide unclassified non-coding RNA is filed under the name uncultured fungus. Its description in RNAcentral is "partial contains small subunit ribosomal RNA, internal transcribed spacer 1, and 5.8S ribosomal RNA". The stretch from base 1 to 73 matches the Rfam family "Eukaryotic small subunit ribosomal RNA", at positions 1759 to 1831 of the family's 1831-position model. The record is from RNAcentral. Lineage: Eukaryota; Fungi.
UCAAACUUGGUCAUUUAGAGGAAGUAAAAGUCGUAACAAGGUUUCCGUAGGUGAACCUGCGGAAGGAUCAUUAUUGAAAUAAUCCAAAAUCUUGGGCGCUACUUUUUUCAUAAAAGUUUCGCUCUUUUUUUUUACCCACACACUCGUGCACUUUUUUUAUUAAAAACUCUACAAGUCUACAUGAGGAAUAACAAAUUUAUAAAAAAAAGAAACAACUUUCAACAACGGAUCUCUUGGCUCUCGCAUCGAUGAAGAACGCAGC